This 282-nucleotide ribosomal RNA is filed under the name Triticum aestivum (bread wheat). RNAcentral describes it as "partial small subunit ribosomal RNA". Lineage: Eukaryota; Viridiplantae; Streptophyta; Magnoliopsida; Poales; Poaceae. The record is from RNAcentral.
CAUACUUUUCUCCCUGGCGGAGAGAGAUUCUACACGGUUGGCCUUGCAGCUGCCUACUGGGCCAUUUGGCUAGCUCGGAAUCGAGUCACUUUUGAGAAAAAGUUGAGCAAAACACCAUUUGAAAUUGUCUUUGCCAUGUGUUCUUUCUUGCUUUAUUGGACAGGGCUGCAACAAGGAGAUGAUGCUAAGGAGCUACGUGCGGGUGCCGAGCAGAUCAGGGCGAGUACCAUGCAGCUGAUGAAGAUGUGUGACGCUGCCAGGCAACCGAUCAUCGGAGAGUGA